GUUCCCGACACCCAGCGAGGCUGAGCAAACUGAGAAGUUGGAGUUUGGAGCAGAGAAAGGUUGGUUGCAGCGCCCAGCAAGGAGAACAGACAAGUUAUACUCGAAAAGACACCAACUCCCUGAUGGUUUUCAAGCAAGAGUUUUUAAAGGGAAGGUCUAGGAGACGGAAAGUUUUUUCCUACACAUCACAAAGGACCCAGAAAGGCUUUCGUACCCAGGACCAUCCUCUCAUUGCUACAAACCUUCGGCGUCUGUGUUUUGGCUCCUGUACGUCAGGCAAGAACCUGGUUUGGAUGCAAAUUUCGGGAACCAGCCAGGAGAAUAAACCUGUGCAAAGAAGAUAGAAGAUUUUGCCCAAACAGGAAAGGAAGAUGAGAGAAACCUGUUUUGCUUGAUUCACAUGCAAAGGAGUCAUUGCUCUUGUGUUGCCAGUGCUGUGAGGUCAGCCAACACUCUACCUUCUUCUCUACCCUGGAAGAUGGUAUUGCUGCUCUUUCCCCGCCAGGAUAUGAGCCACAGCCUCAGGCUCCGGUGCCCCCUGGUCUCUGAGGGUCAAGAAAGAAAUAGAAGGGGUCUCCCCCCUCCUCAUUAACCUGCUGGGGUACUGACUUGGCCAGGGAGCAACCACUCAGGUGGGGCAACAUUGCUUAAGCCAAGUCCCCCCUGGGGAUGUGAAUGCUGAGACUGGGCAAAGGUGAUGGGAUGGAUCUGGGUCCACUCCCUGUUUCCAGGUUCAGAUUUAAUUGGAAGAACCAUAUGCCAACUUAAAAGACCCCAAGAGAAUGGAGAUCUUCCUUCACCAAUCUGUGCAAACCAACACGGCCAGCUGUUCAAAGCUUACUACAUACCCUGCUCACUUCAGAUGGGCACAGAAUGUUGGAUAAGCCUGGGGAAGGAGGCAUGUCUGCCCCAUACAAAACCCCCUGGCCACCCAGGACAGACCACAGCAAACAUAGCCGUACCUUCAGUGGAUCCCAGUUGGAUGUGAAUGCUGGGGAGAGACCCGAACUUGACUGACACAGAGAAUGCAUUUUUGCAGGACUGCAAAGAGGGUGCAAGAUGAGCCUCCAUAAAGUACAGAAGGUAAAACAAAAUUGAAUGAGGAUCCUUCAAAAUUUCU
Long non-coding RNA from Phacochoerus africanus (Common warthog), 1120 nucleotides. RefSeq lists it as uncharacterized. The record is from RefSeq and is a predicted model, not a curated record. The transcript is spliced from 3 exons. NCBI's taxonomy places the organism in Eukaryota, Metazoa, Chordata, Mammalia, Artiodactyla, Suidae.